RNAcentral lists this ribosomal RNA (460 nucleotides) under uncultured bacterium. RNAcentral describes it as "partial 16S ribosomal RNA". It matches the Rfam family "Bacterial small subunit ribosomal RNA", at positions 338 to 795 of the family's 1533-position model. The record is from RNAcentral.
CCUACGGGAGGCAGCAGUGAGGAAUAUUGGUCAAUGGACGAGAGUCUGAACCAGCCAAGUAGCGUGAAGGAUGACUGCCCUAUGGGUUGUAAACUUCUUUUAUAUGGGAAUAAAAUGUUCCACGUGUGGGAUUUUGUAUGUACCAUAUGAAUAAGGAUCGGCUAACUCCGUGCCAGCAGCCGCGGUAAUACGGAGGAUCCGAGCGUUAUCCGGAUUUAUUGGGUUUAAAGGGAGCGUAGGUGGAUUGUUAAGUCAGUUGUGAAAGUUUGCGGCUCAACCGUAAAAUUGCAGUUGAAACUGGCAGUCUUGAGUACAGUAGAGGUGGGCGGAAUUCGUGGUGUAGCGGUGAAAUGCUUAGAUAUCACGAAGAACUCCGAUUGCGAAGGCAGUUCACUGGACUGCAACUGACACUGAGGCUCGAAAGUGUGGGUAUCAAACAGGAUUAGAUACCCCAGUAGGC